CGAACCAAAGCAUCCGUUGCUCCUUGACUAGACAAAGGAGAUUUAGUUCAUCCCGGAUGCUAAAAACCCACGCGAAAUUGAAUCAAUAGUGGCGACCAUUGUGCUCGCUCGCGGCAAUUCAAUCCGAUUGAAUGAAGAAGGAAAAGUAAGCUACAAUGAAAAGUUCAUUUGUUUCUGAUUGUCACCAGUGAAAAGUCAAACAGAGGAGCUAAAGAGAAUGAUUCAAUGUUCUUCUCAUAGCCUCUGGCCUACAAUAAUUAAAGCUAAGCAAAAGCUCACAAAAGGAAAGUCAAAGAGCAAAAGCUCUCCAAAAGAUAGUGCUCAUUCUCUGCCCCUAAUUUCUGUCUAAGUCCUACUACCCUCUUCCUGUGCGGUGGCUCCCCAGCGAGAAUAGAAGACCUCAGCCGUCCUCGCCUUUACAGCAAUUACCAAAAAUGGGCAUAAGCUUUCCUUUUCCAAAAAUGUCCCCUGGGAUAAUCUCUGUUGCUUGGGCUUCUUUCUUGUCAAAUUGGCACUUGUUAUCAUAUUUUCGUUCUACUCCCUGAAAUAAAUGCAAAAUAUUAAAAGUGAGUAGAAUUUAAUAAUUAAUCCACAGCAAAUCAGGUAAUAAGGAAAAUUAAUAAUAAAAUAAAUGAUUAAAUUGCAUCCUAUCAAUUCCCCCCACACCUAAACUAUGCUUGUCCCCAAAUAUAAGAACAGUAAACAAACAACAAUAUUUGACAAUGGCAGUUGCUCUAUCUACCAUAUUGCCAAGAUACCAAGAGAAACCCAUAUAUCAAGUAUCAGUGAUCAAAAUUCGAGAAACAUCACUCCGGUUAGCUUCUAAACCACAAACUCAUUCAAUUCCAACUUAACUAAUUUAAGAAAAAGGAAUGGAGCACAACAUUUAUCAGCAAAUGGUCCAAAUAUUAACCAAAAUCUCCACAUUAAAUCCAUAAAUUGGCAAACUGACUUUUAUCACAUACUAACACAACCUACACUUUUUUUUUCCACGUUUUCUAUAUUUUUUUUCUUUUUUUUUAGAUAGCACAAAAAACUUAGUCUCUAACCAUUGGAGCCUUUUGAUGCGAAUUCUAACAUUUUCAGAUGAAGGAGCCUAUUACUCAGUUCCUAUCGCUAUACGACUACAUACUCAUAGAAAUUACUACUUUUUGAUGCGAGAAUCGAUACUUUUGGUGAAGAUCCCCGGUUACUCAGUAGUAACAACUAGCGGAGUACAAUCAACUCUUAUUUAUAGCCACAUGGAACAAUAACGCAAAAUAACACUGCUAAAAAUAAAAAUAGGAGCAGCUAGCCUCAUUAUUGCCAAACAUGAAGAAUUAGAGCCAAUAUUGGACCAAUUCACAUGAAAAUGCCAACAGUCAUUCCCUUUACCUAGAAAAGUUAACAAAGAAAUCAAGAGAGUCAAGCAGUCAUCGAUAUUCACCAAAGAGACAUUUUGAACUCAACCGCAUUAACUCGAUACACUUUUAUUAUUAAAACUCGGCAAGAGUAGAUUUAGAGUCAACAAUCCAACAUCAAACUUUGACAUUCACAUGAGAGCUCAUAACUACAAAGAAAGAAAAUGGCUGAAUGAAAAAAAACAAAUAACAAACUAAAAAUAAAGGAAAAACGACUAAAAACUAAAAAUUAGAAAAAUUGGCACCCCAACUAAACCCCCCCACACCUAAACGGUACAUUACCCUCAAUAUAGCAAAUAAACAUCAAAAGUAUGAGAGAGGGUAACAAAACUUCCCUGAAGUAGGGUCAAAGUGGUGGGCGAUACCCAAAUUGCGAUGUAUGACCCGCAUGCUGCAUGAAUGCUGCUAAAUUCUGUGCCAUGUAAUGCACGUUGUGAUCAAUAUUGAUCAUUCGAGCCUCCAGAUUCUGAACUUGAAUCCGAAGUUGAUUCCAUUCAGCAGCUCCUGGGGGUGGUGGGGGCAGAGCGGAGGUAGACGAGCCUGCAUCAUCGCCAGCAGGGGCCGAAUUGGUAAAAGAAGAGUGAGGUGAGGCGCUGGGCGGUCCCGAGGGAGUAAAUCGGUAGGCACCAUUGACAUGCUCCAGAACUCCCAUCCUCUCUAAGCGUUCAACAUUCACAAAUUCCAUGUCGCAGGCCAAAUGAAGGUCGUGAUCCUGUAGAAUGAGAACUCCUAGCUGGACUGCCAGGCGGGUGAUGUAGGACUCGAGGAUCAGGGGUAUGUUCUUCUUUGCCAAAACGGUCUUGAACUGUGCAGUCAACCAACACCCCAAAUUGACUUUGAAACCGGUUUUCAUGCACCAGAGAAAGAAGAGCUUCGGUCGAGAGAUUAUACUGGAGCUAUCCUUUCUACCCGAGUAACUGUAUGCUAAGAGUCGUUGAACAUACCGAACACUCGGGUCCUCGAGAAAAGAGCUCCUAGAUCUAGACGGGUCAUACCGCUGCCUGUCGACGAAUAUGUCCCACCACACAUCAUGGUAGGGGGAAAGAAAUGGCUCUACAUAAUCACAGGCACUCUCGGCAUAUUCCCUAGUCACCGCAUACUCCCGAGUGAUAAAACCGAAUGCCAAAUUAAACUGGGUAAUAGAGAAAUUGAAUUCCUUACCCAUGAGACGGAAACGAAUGACAUUGGGAGUCUCAACAGUAUACCUCGUAGGUAAUUCAAACUCAAAGAUGGAAUAAAACUCCCUAGUCAACUCAACAAAGGCGGGUUGGAAAACAGCGAGAUAGGGGCGCCAUCCAAUGGCGGUGUACAUGCGCUCAACCUCCUCCUGGAUACCCAAAAAAAGCCAUAGUCAACUCGUCCGAGCACUUGAACGGAAUGAUACGCCGCUCACAGGCUUUAGCAUAGCGCCGCUCACAGGCCACGUGGGCACCCCUACCCCUGCCUAACCGGGUUCGGACACCGGAAACGGAAGGUUGGUUGAUAAGGGUAUUGACUGGAAUGGAGGGUUGGGGUGGUAGCUGAGACUAAGAGGUUCUAGACCUAGAAGAGGAUUUGGGUCGCACCAUAGCUCCUAACUGUCAACUCAAUCAACCAGAGAUAGAAGCGCCAACAAUAGUCUCAGUAAAUGCAAUUAGCAAAAGAAACUCAGCAAAAGCAAAGCAACAGUCUCCAAGUAGCAACCCAAUCAAUAGCCAAUAGAAGAAUUCCAGCAAGCGCCCCCAGUCCACUGGGGUCAAUAACCAACACAAGAAACAAAGAAGUCCGAAAACGGGGCGACGACUUGCACAAUGGAUUAGACCAAAAUCACAUACAAUGUCCCUCCGAAUCAGCAAUUUAAGUCGUCAGCUAGAAUGUCCCCAACAAUGCAAUUAAAUAUGACAAACCUCACAAAGUAAAUCAAGCGGCACAGGGUUCCUAAGUCAACAGGCAACAACAGCUCCCAAAUUUAACAAUAAAAAACAAACAAGGUUCAACCAGAAUCCCAACAGAUAGUCCCAAUUGGACAGUUAAUCGCACAAUUUCAACCAACCCAAAAGAAGCAUCAAAUUUAAGUGAAAAUACUCCAACCAGUACCACUGGAGGAAAUCACACAAUUGAGGAAAUAACCUCUAAUAGUCAACAACACCAACUAUUGAGCAAUCUAGGCAGCACCAAUCAAUAUUAAGAAAUUGAGGGACAACUUCCAAAUACCUCCACUGUAGAGGGUAGCCAAACGAAAUGGGACAGUAGCGGGUGUCAGUUAGGCCGGAGUCGCAUGAGGGGUUGCGGUGGUGUCAAUGAAGACAGCGGUGGUCAAAGGUGGAGUAGGAGCGAGCGACGCACAGCGAAGUGGUGGCACGCGAGCGCAAAUCAGUGGCUAGCGUCGGCGUCGCUUGAAGGGUCGGACGAUGGUGGGCUUAGUCGCGCGGUGAGAUGGGGAGCUGAGAGGGCUCUUGGUGGCGUGCGAUGAGGUUGGGGAACGGAGGGGGUUGGCGGCGUUGGUCGCUCGGCCGUGGCAGUCGCGAGAGCUGGUGAGAGAGGCGCGGCGCUGACGGCAGAGGAGAUGGGUGACGCGCCGAGUGGGUCGAGCAGAGAGAGACCGGUACAGAGACUGCGAUGGUGAGAGAGCUGGUGGCCUGCGGCUUGUGGCUUUGUGGCCGAGAGGGACGGCGGCAGUCCUCUGCUUGGGCGCGAGAUGCGGCGUGUGGAGGCGCAAGGAGGGAGAAGAGGUGGCGCCCGCAGAUCGGAGCUCUGGCGUGCGGCUAUGCUGGUGCGGGCAAGCUAGCGGCACGCUGGCUGGAGUGGAAACUUUCGGAGAUGGAGGGAGAUAGCGGCGUUGUGAGGUCUUCGGGUGACACAGAGGAGAAUAGGGGAAAAGAAAGAAAGAAGAAAGCGAGGAAAAGAGAGAAAAGAAAGAAAGAGAAGGA
RNAcentral lists this long non-coding RNA (4309 nucleotides) under Coffea arabica (coffee). RNAcentral describes it as "long non-coding RNA (CARA_LNC000101)". The record is from RNAcentral. Lineage: Eukaryota; Viridiplantae; Streptophyta; Magnoliopsida; Gentianales; Rubiaceae.